UAAUCCUGUUUUCUCUUCAGCCCCUCCCCUCAGAUGUCUCUGGGUCUCCCAGCACCAUCAUGAGAACCUCCAGUCUCUAUAAAAGUCGCCGUUUCUGCCAGAAACCCGUCAGCCGCUGAAGCCUGCAGAUGUGGUAGCGGCAGGUUUUCAGCCGACAGGAAGUCACAGAGGUUUUGGCUCUUACUGUGCAAAUGAUUUCUACUUUGGGCUUCCUGUGAACUGUACCGCAACUUCCUGCCCCCCAUCAGCGAAGUGCUGUUUGCUCUGAGGUUACAGAGUCUGAACCGACCAGAGGUGCUAGACCACGACUGGGACUGCCGGGACGACAACAGUCAGACAGAGGAGAAAACACAAGAAUCUGAUGCUGGCUCAGAUUACCCAUCAGCCUCUUGCUCAGGAAUGUCUGCUGGUCGUCUCUGAGGAGGAACAAACAGCCGCAUCAAAACCUCUGAAACUCAGACAGGAAGCACAAAGCGGGCAGGACUGCAGACGGAGCGGCUCUUCAGUCAUCUGACGGUCUGAGGGAGGAAACUGCUGGUCCUGACGUCCUGACGCCUCCUGCAGGAGCACAAGCAGAUGCUGAGAUGGUGGAGAGGAGUCUGUUUUCUGCUGAAGGCUUCCCUGAAGCAUCUCCACCAAAACGCCUCUGAUUCGGUCACAAAGCUCAGACUGCGAUGGAUCUGCAGAUCUCUGACUGCAUGAAGCCCAGAGGCUCUGAGGAGGAGGAGAAGAUGAAGCUCCUGAGGGGUUUCAGCAGUCCAGGUCAGAAAGUCUCCAGACUCCUGAACCUUUGAUUCCAGUCUCACGUGUUUAAGUGAAAACCCCAAAAUACUAGAAAGCAGAACUUCCUGAUCCACUCAGUGGAUCCCAGAGGUCGGUUUCUAUUUCAGCUUGUUCUGCAGAUUUCUGAUCAAAACAAAGAAAAUGAAAAUGUUUUUCUGCUUUUUGUCUCACUGUGGAUGAAGAUGGACGUUUAUAACUGAAGGUCCAGCUGUCAGUACCUUCACACAUUGCAGGACAUUCCUGUUGAUUCGUCUGCAGGAUAAGAACUACAGCUGGACAACAGCGCCACUCUGGGGAAUAUUUGUGUAACUGCAGCAGCAAACAGAAGAACAUAAAACGAUCCAACAGUUUAUGUAAAUAUAUGUGUGUUCUGUAUUAUGUUUAUAUGUGAGCAUGGCUAGACCUACUUAAUUACAUUAAUUUGAAUGGAAGUAAAAUAACUAUGUCUGAUAACUACGUGUUAUUUUAAAGUUGAUUAAACUCAAAAAGAUGAUUUAUCUUCACCAAAUAUUUUAGUUAGAUCAGAUUAAAAAAGUUUAUCUUUACAACUGCAGCCUAAAACUCUUUUUAGAGUGUAGAUCUUAUAACAAAAAUAUCAGAUUCUGCAUUUUUUGUUAAUUUUUCCGUGUAAAUUGUCCAAAUAAAAGUAAGAACACAGAAAAAUGAGGUCACCAAGGUGAAAACCGGUUUAGUCUACUCCUUUGGUGGGGAAGUUUAUUGUCAAGCACCAAAACGCCAGAGAGAUGGAGGAAAAAGGUCAAAGCCAUCUGAAGAAGAGGAGAAGUGAGAUGAAGAAAAGGGUUUGUCCUCGUAGGGAUGAAGGUUUUCUGCUACCUGAAACAACGACGUCAACAAUUCUUUUGUGACUAAAACUUGGGUAGGCCUAAAUGUCUGAUAUCAAUGUUUAUUUGUUACCAUUUCAUUUUCUUCUGAACCUUUGGCUCUACCUUUACGUGUAACAUUAGUGGUAACCUUUAGACGUCAUGACUGAUGUGUCUGCUGUAAAAUUUAUAGGAUGGAAAACAGCAACUAUGAGCUGAGUUUUCAUCUAUAAAGUAGAGAUCCGUAUAUUAUACAAUACUUAGUGUUAGACAUCUUUUGUAUCGGGUUGACAUGGAUGAAAAAAAGGGGGGGGAGUCUGGGAAGGAGUUUAGUGUAGAACCACCACUGGUUGAGCCUCAGAUCCAGGAACAACAGUAGAACAGUAGACCAGG
This is a long non-coding RNA of Oryzias sinensis (Chinese medaka), 1997 nucleotides long. Lineage: Eukaryota; Metazoa; Chordata; Actinopteri; Beloniformes; Adrianichthyidae. The record is from Ensembl.